Molecule: ribosomal RNA, 497 nt
Filed under: uncultured bacterium
Lineage: Bacteria
Description: partial 16S ribosomal RNA
Rfam family: Bacterial small subunit ribosomal RNA
Source: RNAcentral
GAUGAACGCUGGCGGCGUGCCUAAUACAUGCAAGUCGAGCGAACAGACGAGGAGCUUGCUCCUCUGACGUUAGCGGCGGACGGGUGAGUAACACGUGGAUAACCUACCUAUAAGACUGGGAUAACUUCGGGAAACCGGAGCUAAUACCGGAUAAUAUAUUGAACCGCAUGGUUCAAUAGUGAAAGACGGUUUUGCUGUCACUUAUAGAUGGAUCCGCGCCGCAUUAGCUAGUUGGUCAGGUAACGGCUUACCAAGGCAACGAUGCGUAGCCGACCUGAGAGGGUGAUCGGCCACACUGGAACUGAGACACGGUCCAGACUCCUACGGGAGGCAGCAGUAGGGAAUCUUCCGCAAAGGGCGAAAGCCUGACGGAGCAACGCCGCGUGAGUGAUGAAGGUCUUCGGAUCGUAAAACUCUGUUAUUAGGGAAGAACAAAUGUGUAAGUAACUAUGCACGUCUUGACGGUACCUAAUCAGAAAGCCACGGCUAACUACGUG